This 685-nucleotide ribosomal RNA is filed under the name Salmonella enterica. Its description in RNAcentral is "partial 23S ribosomal RNA". It matches the Rfam family "Bacterial large subunit ribosomal RNA", at positions 2259 to 2925 of the family's 2925-position model. The record is from RNAcentral. Lineage: Bacteria; Pseudomonadati; Pseudomonadota; Gammaproteobacteria; Enterobacterales; Enterobacteriaceae.
UGGUGGGUAGUUUGACUGGGGCGGUCUCCUCCUAAAGAGUAACGGAGGAGCACGAAGGUUGGCUAAUCCUGGUCGGACAUCAGGAGGUUAGUGCAAUGGCAUAAGCCAGCUUGACUGCGAGCGUGACGGCGCGAGCAGGUGCGAAAGCAGGUCAUAGUGAUCCGGUGGUUCUGAAUGGAAGGGCCAUCGCUCAACGGAUAAAAGGUACUCCGGGGAUAACAGGCUGAUACCGCCCAAGAGUUCAUAUCGACGGCGGUGUUUGGCACCUCGAUGUCGGCUCAUCACAUCCUGGGGCUGAAGUAGGUCCCAAGGGUAUGGCUGUUCGCCAUUUAAAGUGGUACGCGAGCUGGGUUUAGAACGUCGUGAGACAGUUCGGUCCCUAUCUGCCGUGGGCGCUGGAGAACUGAGGGGGGCUGCUCCUAGUACGAGAGGACCGGAGUGGACGCAUCACUGGUGUUCGGGUUGUCAUGCCAAUGGCACUGCCCGGUAGCUAAAUGCGGAAGAGAUAAGUGCUGAAAGCAUCUAAGCACGAAACUUGCCCCGAGAUGAGUUCUCCCUGAGACUUUAGAGUCUCCUGAAGGAACGUUGAAGACGACGACGUUGAUAGGCCGGGUGUGUAAGCGCAGCGAUGCGUUGAGCUAACCGGUACUAAUGAACCGUGAGGCUUAACCUUACAACGCCGAAG